This 454-nucleotide ribosomal RNA is filed under the name Colletotrichum gloeosporioides. Its description in RNAcentral is "eukaryotic LSU rRNA". The stretch from base 86 to 239 matches the Rfam family "5.8S ribosomal RNA". The record is from RNAcentral. Lineage: Eukaryota; Fungi; Ascomycota; Sordariomycetes; Glomerellales; Glomerellaceae.
CUCCCGGGCGGGUCGGCGCCCGCCGGAGGAUAAGCGAACUCUGAUGUAACGACGUUUCUUCUGAGUGGUACAAGCAAAUAAUCAAAACUUUUAACAACGGAUCUCUUGGUUCUGGCAUCGAUGAAGAACGCAGCGAAAUGCGAUAAGUAAUGUGAAUUGCAGAAUUCAGUGAAUCAUCGAAUCUUUGAACGCACAUUGCGCCCGCCAGCAUUCUGGCGGGCAUGCCUGUUCGAGCGUCAUUUCAACCCUCAAGCUCUGCUUGGUGUUGGGGCCCUACAGCUGAUGUAGGCCCUCAAAGGUAGUGGCGGACCCUCCCGGAGCCUCCUUUGCGUAGUAACUUUACGUCUCGCACUGGGAUCCGGAGGGACUCUUGCCGUAAAACCCCCAAUUCUCCAAAGGUUGACCUCGGAUCAGGUAGGAAUACCCGCUGAACUUAAGCAUAUCAAUAACGGAG